RNAcentral lists this ribosomal RNA (253 nucleotides) under uncultured bacterium. RNAcentral describes it as "partial 16S ribosomal RNA". It matches the Rfam family "Bacterial small subunit ribosomal RNA", at positions 524 to 776 of the family's 1533-position model. The record is from RNAcentral.
UACGAAGGGGGCUAGCGUUGCUCGGAAUCACUGGGCGUAAAGCGCACGUAGGCGGCUUUCUAAGUCAGGGGUGAAAUCCUGGAGCUCAACUCCAGAACUGCCUUUGAUACUGGAGAGCUUGAGUCCGGAAGAGGUGAGUGGAACUCCGAGUGUAGAGGUGAAAUGCGUAGAUAUCUGGAGGAACACCGGUGGCGAAGGCGGCAUCCUGGACCGGUAUUGACGCUGAGGCGCGAAAGCCAGGGGAGCAAACGGG